This 561-nucleotide ribosomal RNA is filed under the name Triticum aestivum (bread wheat). Its description in RNAcentral is "partial small subunit ribosomal RNA". Lineage: Eukaryota; Viridiplantae; Streptophyta; Magnoliopsida; Poales; Poaceae. The record is from RNAcentral.
AUGUUCACCUAUAAAUUGUGCUACACAAGUCAAACACCAUCCGAGGAUACUGAAUGUGUUGCAGGCCCGAUGGAGGGGACAAAUGUUGAUGACUCUAACGAAGGGAUUAUACCCGUAGCCGACGAUGUUGACAAAAUUUACCGACGUAGUCCAGGAGUCCAUAUUACUCCCCCGGAACAGAUGAUACUUGAGACCGAUCGUGAUAGCACAUAUGAUACACCAGGCCCGAUGGAGGGGACAAAUGUCGACGACUCUAACGAAGGGGUUAUACAUGUAGUGGAGGAUGUUCACAAGAUUUACCCAAGUAGUCCAGGAGUCCAUAUUACUCCCUUGGAAUGGAUGAUACUUGAACAGACCUAUUGUGAAAGGACAUAUGUUCAUCAACCUUCCCAUCUGAUUACGAAUACGUUGUCGGCUCUCAGUAAUCUGACAAAAGAACUAGCUAGCAUGCAACAUGAUAACGAGGAAAAGAGGCCGCAGAAUGUUCCACGCCAUCCUCUCAGUGAUAUCACUAAUGCUUAUCAACCAUCCUCUAUGGACCUUGAUGAAAAAAAGAGCUGA